UUGGUUUUUAUGACGAAGUUGCUGGGGUGUCUGCGUGAGUGCUUGAGCUAAAUAAAUAGAAUUUGAAAGAGUUCUUAUCACGGCCCAUUGCCCUUUCACUGAGUUUGUUCGGGUGGGGACAGAGAAAGAGUAAGAAGUGCAGGUGGGGUCAAAUCUGGGGGAAGAUCGCUGAUAAAGGGCCGCCACUGAGGGCUGCUGCGGAGAAGGCUAUGGCCCCCAGUUUGAGCACAUGCUUUUGAUUGGGGGUUUUUAAUAACAGUGAUCCGAUUUGGGAUAAUGGCUAUGUAGACCCUUUCUCCUGAGCCCCAAACCAAGGCUGUUUACUCAAGGCCCAGCGGCCCCACGGCUCCUUCCUCGCGCACCCUGAGCCCAGCAUGGGGAACGCUGCCCAGAGUGAAACAGAGUGGAGUGGAGAGCCAGCCCCUUCCCACCCUGGCGGAUGGCCACAGCCUCGUCUCUGGGUGUCCGCGCUCUGGGAAUUGUGGCGGUGGGUGGGGGGGAGCUUUACCCUCUCUCCACUUAUAAUUAGGGGGUCACGGGAUCCUGCCAUUUGUAAAGCUUCAGGGUGAUCAGAGCCAUGUGGCCCCAAGUCCUGCCUGCUGACCUUCUCUUUCUCUUCUCUGCUUGGAAGAGCAUCUGCCCCAGUGAUACAGAGACAUAGAACACACAAUCCCCCCCGGAGAGAGAGGAGGUUGCUCUGAGCUCCAUCCUGUCCACGCCUAGGAGGUGAGAGGGGCUCCCUGGGGAAGGGGAGUGUGGAAGGGAACAGGAAAACUUGAGAACUGAAGAGUCCUUAUAUUUGCAGAUCAGGAAACUCAAAGGUAAGUGACUUGGCCAAGGUCCCACAGUGAUUUCUGGUCCAACUGGGAUUGGAAUGCAGCUGUCUUGGUUACACAUCUUGCUCUCUUUCACCUCUUCCAGAAACCAGCCUCAUGGCACAUUUGGCAUAUUUGGGAAGGUCUUUGGGGGCUGCACACCCUCAGCCUCUUUCGCAGUUGGCUGCAGCACCUGCUGGAGAGGAACCUCUCUGUUCCAGAAGGAAGUCGUGGCGCCCCACGCAAAGGCAGCAGCAGGUGGAAGAAGUGGAGGAAGGAAUGUCCUCGGCAGCCUCCCUCCUCCACAGGACAGAUGCCUCAUUGCCUUAUUCCCUUUGCCACCUGGGACUGACCUGGGGUCUUUGCCUGGAGCUGAGCAGUGUGGAGAAGGUUGGGGGUCAGCGGGUGACACACGCUGGUUUAAUGGGCACAAAGUUCCCAGUUGAAGGUUUGGGUCCCAGCGCCUCCCCCCCCCCCAACCUGAACCCACUGACCCCUGAGUGGGUGGGGAGAAGCUAA
RNAcentral lists this long non-coding RNA (1334 nucleotides) under Canis lupus familiaris (dog). RNAcentral's name for it is "lncRNA (ENSCAFG00845018275.1)". Lineage: Eukaryota; Metazoa; Chordata; Mammalia; Carnivora; Canidae. The record is from RNAcentral.